CACCUACAAUAGCGAGCCUGUAUGGCUG
RNAcentral lists this small RNA (28 nucleotides) under Bombyx mori (domestic silkworm). RNAcentral describes it as "ovarian small RNA-12970". Lineage: Eukaryota; Metazoa; Arthropoda; Insecta; Lepidoptera; Bombycidae. The record is from RNAcentral.